AAUAAUUAACAAAAAAUAAAAAUUAGCUCCAGCUGGAUAUCCAAAAAAAAAAAAUUGUACUAGAAUACUAGUUGUCCAGAGAUUUCUUCUGCAGCUGGAUAUCCUGUCCAUAGAGGCAAGUAUUACAAAUUUUCUAUCUUGCUUAAGAAAAAUGUUUGAUUGUUAUUAUCCCUCAAUCCAGACCUGGUGGAAGAUGUUGAUCUUGUGCGGUUCUCAUGUCCUUCUGCAUCUUUUUUCUGAGAUGACUGGAGGGAGGAAGAAGAGACAGCAAUCUAGCAAAUUCAGAAAACAAUUUGCAUUUUCAAGAAGAAGACCUACAUCCCUAAAGGUAAAAAAGCUUUGUUUUGAAUUAGUUCUGCAAAGUUGUAAUAUGUAAGUACCGCCCAUCAAUGCAUAAAAAGAAGCAGCUUCUUAUUCUGAGACAUCUGUAUGAUGAAUUGAUGAUACAUGAGUUUCCUGGUUAAAUUGAGUAUUAAAAUGUAAAAAAAAAACAAACAAAACGCAACAUGGGUCGGUAGUUGAACAAUUUAUAUGGGAGACAGAGUUUUAAACUCGACGACCAAAUCGCCUAUCCCUCUUCUGAUACCAAGUCAAGGCCUGGAGAUAGCCAGCCAUGGUAAAGUCAGGCCAAAGAACAGUAGGGAAGUAGAGCUCAGCGUUAGCUUAUUGCCAUAGGAAGAAGUUACUGAUCCUUUGCUCUCCACUCGUUCUGAUCAGCAGCUCGGAAUAUACUGAAUUAGUGGGUGAGCUAGAGAGGAGAUUGGCUUUACUACGACUAAUCUGAGAGACAUUUUUCUUCUUAUUUUUAGACUCUAGCAUGCUUCAAAAGAAAGCAGCUCCCUGUCCUGAGAAAUCUGUAUAAUAUCUACUGGUGUAACAAAACAAGUUAAAAGUUGAACACCCUUUAUUUUUCUGA
This is a long non-coding RNA of Raphanus sativus (radish), 916 nucleotides long. RefSeq lists it as uncharacterized. Lineage: Eukaryota; Viridiplantae; Streptophyta; Magnoliopsida; Brassicales; Brassicaceae. The record is from RefSeq and is a predicted model, not a curated record. The transcript is spliced from 2 exons.